Molecule: ribosomal RNA, 253 nt
Filed under: uncultured bacterium
Lineage: Bacteria
Description: partial 16S ribosomal RNA
Rfam family: Bacterial small subunit ribosomal RNA
Source: RNAcentral
UACGGAGGGAGCUAGCGUUGUUCGGAAUUACUGGGCGUAAAGCGCACGUAGGCGGCUUUGUAAGUUAGAGGUGAAAGCCCGGAGCUCAACUCCGGAACUGCCUUUAAGACUGCAUCGCUUGAAUCCAGGAGAGGUGAGUGGAAUUCCGAGUGUAGAGGUGAGAUUCGUAGAUAUUCGGAAGAACACCAGUGGCGAAGGCGGCUCACUGGACUGGUAUUGACGCUGAGGUGCGAAAGCGUGGGGAGCAAACAGG